UUUUGAAUCGCAUAACAAGGAAGCACUACUUUACUCUUCGGGAUCUCGUUGAGGUUCUAGUUUUAUAUUCAAUCAUACACAUGACAACUACUCAUAUUUCACUCUGAAAUGCUAACCCAGAUUCUUCUUGCUCCUCAAAGCUUUGAUGGUGUAGCCUAAAUCCGUAUGAUUUUUGGUUUUGGAUCUUCUAACAAGGAAAGAUAAAUUUAGGUUCACAGCCCUGGUUGUGGUUUUACCCCUAAAACUGAAUCAUCCACCUAUCAUCUGGAGAUAUUUGAUUCCAAAACGCUUACAAAGAUUAUGCUU
This 306-nucleotide small RNA is filed under the name Arabidopsis thaliana (thale cress). RNAcentral describes it as "ATSL038710". Lineage: Eukaryota; Viridiplantae; Streptophyta; Magnoliopsida; Brassicales; Brassicaceae. The record is from RNAcentral.